This 1026-nucleotide long non-coding RNA is filed under the name Anas platyrhynchos platyrhynchos (common mallard). RNAcentral describes it as "lncRNA (ENSAPLG00000022270.1)". The record is from RNAcentral. Lineage: Eukaryota; Metazoa; Chordata; Aves; Anseriformes; Anatidae.
GCACACAUCCACGAAGCGGCCUUCCUCUUCAUCCUCACCCUCCUCAUCCUCCUCCUGCUCCGCCAGCUGCGCCAGCGCCUCCUCCAGCCUCUGCAUGCGGCCGCGGAGCUUCUCGCUGGGGCGGAUGGCAGCCGCCCGCUGGAACAGCCGCAGCGCUGCCUCCAGGUCCCCGCUGCCCGCUGCCUCCUUGGCACCGCUCACCAGCCUGCGGGGACGGGAACGGCGUCAGCACCGGCACCGGGACCCAAACCGGCACCGGGGGUCCCAGCCCCACCACCCCCAGCACCCCGCUCACCGCCGGUACUCCCGAUCCUGAUCCCGGUCCCGAUCCUGGUUCUGUUCCAGAUCCCGCUCCCGGUUCUGCUCCCGGUCCUGAUCCUGAUCCCGGUCCCGGUCCCGAUCCCGGUUCGGGUCCCGGUCCCGCCCCGGCCCCUCCAUGGCUCCAGCGCCGCCGCCGCCACCGCGCGCGCUUCAAACCGCGCCACUUCCCGUCCUACCCCGCGCUGUAUGCAAAUGAGCACCCGCCUCGCCCAAUCAUCUCCCCGCUUGGGGGCGUGGCUUCCCGUAGCCCCGCCCACCUCCGCACCUCCUUCUCGCUCCUCCCGCCGGCAGAGGGCAGUGCGGCGGGUGGGCGGGUAGCGAGCGGGGGGCGGGCUCCGCCGCGGGGUCGCCGGGAGACGGGGGGCGCCGCCGCCAUGGAGCCGCCCGCCGCGGGCCGGGGCCUGGCCGGGAGGGGGCGGCGGGGGGCACCGGGGGCCGUGCGGGGCCUGCCCGGGGCGGAGGUGCGGGGGGGGCGGCGGGAGCCGUGCGUGCUCAGCCUGGCGCAGCGGGGAGGCCGCUACGGGAUCCUUAUCCAGUGGCAGGACAGGGAGGGCGCGGAGCCGGAUUACAUCCCCAUCAACAGCCGCUUUAAGUGUGUGCAAGGUACUGACCCCCCCCCACGGCAGGAACCCGCUGCUGAAUCCUUUGGGGUGGCCCUGCAGCGGGUUCUGCCCCUCGUUUCGGCUCUGUGAGCUCUGAGGUUCA